RNAcentral lists this ribosomal RNA (234 nucleotides) under uncultured bacterium. RNAcentral describes it as "partial 16S ribosomal RNA". It matches the Rfam family "Bacterial small subunit ribosomal RNA", at positions 118 to 347 of the family's 1533-position model. The record is from RNAcentral.
UGGGUGAUCUGCCCUGCACUUUGGGAUAAGCCUGGGAAACUGGGUCUAAUACCGGAUAUACCCUGCUGGUCGCAUGGCCUGGUGGGGGAAAGCUUUUGCGGUGUGGGAUGGGCCCGCGGCCUAUCAGCUUGUUGGUGGGGGUGAUGGCCCACCAAGGCGACGACGGGUAGCCGACCUGAGAGGGUGAUCGGCCACAUUGGAACUGAGACACGGUCCAGGCUCCGUACGGGAGCA